CAUCACUCCGAAAAGUUAGAGGUGCGUGCCCGGGAUCGAACCCCCGACCCCCAAUUAGGAGGCAGACGUUCUAAAUAGGAUAUCACAGCUUAUAUUAUAUCAGUAAAGAAUUUU
Maniola jurtina (meadow brown) is the source of this 114-nucleotide long non-coding RNA. RefSeq lists it as uncharacterized. The record is from RefSeq and is a predicted model, not a curated record. NCBI's taxonomy places the organism in Eukaryota, Metazoa, Arthropoda, Insecta, Lepidoptera, Nymphalidae. The transcript has 3 exons.